Molecule: long non-coding RNA, 3545 nt
Organism: Carassius auratus (goldfish)
Lineage: Eukaryota; Metazoa; Chordata; Actinopteri; Cypriniformes; Cyprinidae
Source: Ensembl
ACCAGCUCUUCCAUAAGUUAAAGUGUGCAUCUGAGUUGAAGCUGAAACAUACUGUUGUGGAGCUGGUGUCUGUUAGACAUAACACUGGCACAGUUUAACGUAGACAUAAAGCCCUUAUUAUUGUUUUUAGAGUAUGUUGUUGUCUUUCAGAUCGAGAAGCUGAAUGCAGUGGGCUGCAGGCACAUACUUUUUCUUGAGUACCCUAACAAGGAGGUCAAGAUGCUGCUGACGGAGGGGCUCAAAUUACGUUCAGGGGAGAAGAUAUGUGUUAAUAACAUGAACAUGAUCUACAGCAUGAUAGUUGAAGGAAAGGCAGUGCCGGCGGACCCUUCUAGCAACCAGGCCUCAAUCGGUAAUCUGCAACUGGGUCCAGAAGAGGAGACCAUUGUUGUGGUUUUAAAUUUCGAAACCAUUCAAGACCCACCACCACAAGUAGGUGUGCUUAGUAUAGCUUUAUUGUUAUCUUUCAUAUUUUUAUGAGAGUUUUCUUUACCAGCAUAUUAUUAUCAUUGUUGUAGUAUAUUAUUAUCAUCGUAUAUUCUGUGUGUACACCUUUUGCAGAGACUCUCCUUUAAGCCAGCCCUGCCACCACCACCAACGAGAGGGCAGAGAUUGGCACUGAGCCUGACUCGUACACGGUGCGAAUUCGAAUGGUCUGAAGAUCAUAUGUCCACACACACGGCAUGAAUGAGUUUAUCUGAAAAUCGUACGUACGAAAAUCAACACGAUUUUAUAACCUGCGAAUUCCAGAAACAAUCUCACGAAGUUCAUAGACGCGUUCGACUUGAAGCACCGCUGCACACAAGGAUCACUGUAUGACAUUAAAGUACUGCGAGAGCGAUAAGAGAGCACACAUAUCCAAUGCAUUCGAAUCGCUCUUGCCGUAGUUUGAUGUCAUACAUGUGAUCACUCUGUGCAGCGCUGCUUCAAGUCGAACGCACCUAAUAUAACUCUCCCUCUCUCAUAACCAGGGGCGGCGUUAGGGGUGGGCUAAGGGGGCUGGAGCCCUGAAUGUUUUUAUUACUACCAUGACAUCAAUGCAUUUUCAUGCCCAAUAAAGUAAUUCAUAUUAGAAUUUAAUUAAAUAAAUAAAUAUCUCUCGACUCUCACGUCUAUAGUGUCUGUCAAUUUACGUGGUGUCAUUCACACCUGACGAAAACCGCCCACUGAGUCUAGUGCUUCUGACUGACAUGUAAACUGGCCAACCAUCGAUGAACAGCUUCAGGUAUCGGUAAAUUUUAAUCAUAGUAUUAUAUUUCUUUUUCAUUUUUAAGGUGUGUCUGAUUUAACGUUACAUUUUGAACAGCUAACAGUUAACGGUUGCGCAGCAACUGUCUCUAGGACACACACACACAUAGAGAGAGAGCGGUUAUAAUGUUUGGUUUGCACGGUCGGUGGCAGACUUUUCGUGUCAGGGCAACAAUGCAAUAAACAAGAUAAUAAUAAAAAGACAUAUUUCGCAAAGGAAAUGGUUCCAAACAAAGCAUGUUGUUGUGCUCUGCAGCAACACACAGUGUGUUAACUGAAUAAAUUUGCUUGAGUAAAUGAUUCACUGACCCAUUCAUAAAAAGCAGUUGCUUACUUUAUUUCUGAAUUAAUCAUCCGUUUCAAACGAUUCCAUUGAUUAAAUGACUGACCGACUCACUCAUUAAGGCAGUGGCAUGCCGCCAUCUAGUGGCAAAGUACCAUUCAUUUUUUUUUUUUUAUAUUUCUGUAUUCCAAUUUUUAUAUUUGAUGGAUUUUUCUGGGCUAUGCCCCGGAUCUCAACUCACUCUAGAACCGUCCCUGCUCAUAACUGCAUAUAAAAUAUUGAUACAAGUUGUGACUGUUUCCUGACACGUACAGGUUAUUUUUCAGCAAUAGGAAACAGGGACGUUUGUUCACCCUGUGUGUGUGUGUGUGUGUGUUCUUGUAUAUGGUUUAUAAAUAUCUGAAAUAGGUAUUACAACGUAAACAUGGUUUGUGAGGACAAUCCUGUGCCCUCGUAAACCAAAUGGCUUUAAAAAAUACUAUACGAUGUUUAAUAGAAAUUUUAAACAUGCAUUUUCCGUGAUGGAUAGAGGUAUAGUGUAUGAGGAUAUACAUUAUAGAAUACAGUUACGUCUAUGGAGAGUCCCUGUAAACUACAUGUGCGUGUGAGAGAGAGAGACAGAGAGAGAGAGAGAGAGAGAGAGAGAGAGAGAGAGAAAACUAAAAAGACAUUGGAGCACGUUGCUAGAAACCUCAUACAGUGCUCGUUGUUCCUGUUAGACUUCAGCGAGUUUAUCCUCCUUGGUCAAUAGUCCACAUUCGCCGUGGCGCUGCCAUCUUCGUCUUUCUUCUUCUGUGGUUUUCCUAGUUCGUGAUUGGUCAACUUCAGAUAAAUCAACAAAUCAACUCGUUCAACCGCACGUCACAAAUUCAAACCGAUAGCUCACAAACUUUUUAGACAUGUUUAAAAAUGAUCGGGAGGUCGGGAAGUGCUCGCCUUUAGUCUUAGAAGCAUUUAAGUGGAAAUUAAGGGAACUUGACAGGUUGGAUCAGAGGCUCAGAUAGCUGGUUUAUUGCAGUGUAAUACAGCAGGAUACAGACUUAAGUGGAAUAUUCUAUAGUAGGGGUGGCACAGUUCAACUUUUUCACGGUUCGGUUUGUUUCACGGUUUUAGAGUCACGGUUUUCAGUACAGUUUGGUAUGUGUUAUGUUUAUGGAAAACUAUACUUUCUAAUAAAAAAAAAGAAAAAGAAUAUUCUAUUAAACUACAAGCAACAGCACAAAUAAAUACAACAGAGUAAAGAUACAAACAAUAAACAGUGAAUUUCAGUUUUUUUAUUUUAUUUUUAUUUUUAGGCAGGUCUAGCAUAUGUUUUUAGGUACAGAAAUUGAAUGAAGUUAUCAAAUGUAAAACAGCAUUACAUAUUGGACUGUAUAAAUUUUACUUGCUUUUUAAUCAAGAGCAGUGAGUGAUUUCUUUGUUGUUGCUGUUCGAUUAAUAUAAAGACUGUUACUUUAAGAGAAUGCACUGAUCCAACAGGCCUACGUUAAGCCGGCUAUGUCUGCUGUAGGAUACUUACCAAAACUGGCAUUUUGACAUAAUUUUUGUGUGAAUUUGUCCAUUUAAACACAAUACUUCAGAGAGAGCUUAUAUUUGCGCACGUUCUGAGGCGCGGGUUUGCGCGCAUGCACAAAUCUUCUUACUGUGUGCGCGAGCUCGCGUCUUCGGGCUCUUAAAUGUUUAAACUGACAAAGCUUAAAUGAGUUUAGUUUAAACAGAUAUCAACGUGUGCUGUUAAGAUCUCAUCUGUGCACGCGUGCUGUCAACACUGGGGUGAUGACGAAAUAAAUGUCUGCUCAUAUUCCAGCAUGAGUCAUUCACAUUGAACAAGAGUGCAUUGAACAAGUUUGUCCAGGGUUUUUGUUGUUUUCUCAUUACUCAUCGCUAUUGUUGUAAUGUCUGGGAAUCAAGAAUGUGUAUUCAUCAGCAGAAACAUAUUAGCUGAACCCUGUUUGUUUUACAUGCUAUUUAUAGUAAACCAUAUUACAGAUGCUUUGUCAGAUUUAAGUUGAAC